UGAACGCUGGCGGCGUGCCUUACACAUGCAAGUCGGAUGUGUCGCAAGACACAUGGCAGACGGGUGAGUAACACGUGGGAAACUUACCUCUUAGUGGGGAAUAACGCUCCGAAAGGAGCGGUAAUACCGCAUGAGACCUAUCGCUGGGAUGCGAUAGAUGAAAGCUGGGGAUCGUAAGACCUAGCGCUGAGAGAGAGUCCUGCGUCUGAUUAGUUAGUUGGUGAGAUAACGGCUCACCAAGACUUCGAUCAGUAGCCGGCCUGAGAGGGCGAUCGGCCACACUGGAACUGAGACACGGUCCAGACUCCUACGGGAGGCAGCAGUGGGGAAUCUUGCGCAAUGGGCGAAAGCCUGACGCAGCAACGCCGCGUGGGUGAUGAAGGUCUUCGGAUUGUAAAACCCUGUCGUUAGGGACGAAGGCAUGAAUCCUAAUACGGUUCAUGUUUGACGGUACCUAGAAAGGAAGCCCCGGCUA
RNAcentral lists this ribosomal RNA (475 nucleotides) under uncultured bacterium. Its description in RNAcentral is "bacterial SSU rRNA". It matches the Rfam family "Bacterial small subunit ribosomal RNA", at positions 30 to 499 of the family's 1533-position model. The record is from RNAcentral.